UAUAAAAGUCAGAACACUAAACUCAAAUAGUCACACUCACCUGAAAGACACCUUCAUCUGAGGAUCACCUUUAGCUGACAUUCAUUUUAUCCAGACGGACACCCUGAGCCCACCAGAGACCGGACACAUUCGGCAGGCAGAUUCAUCAGAAGUACUUCUCAAUACAUCUUCGCUGCUUAAUAAUAAAGGGAUGACCAUGAAGGCCACCUUCUCCCUGCUCUUCCUGAUCCUGGCCAUCACGUGCACUGUGAUUGCAGAAAACAAGCAAUACCAAAAAUUCAUGGCUCAGCAUUAUCAUUUCGGCAUGACAGUUAAAGAUUGUAAUAAUGACAUGAAUUAUGUCAAUGCAAAUUACAAUGGAGGCGAGUGCAAACGAUUCAACACUUUCAUCACAGGACAGAGAGUAGAUGCCAUUACUGCAGUCUGUCACAAUGCAGGGAGAGACUUCCCUGUGAAGGGCAGCACAAAUUCUUACAAAUCAACAACUAAAUUUAGUUUGAUCAUUUGCGAAUACAUAAAAGGAUCAAACCCUUGCAACUAUCAAGCAUACCCAAAAACACAAUUAAUUGUGAUUGCUUGUAAUAGCGGAUUACCUGUGCACU
Long non-coding RNA from Anguilla anguilla (European eel), 602 nucleotides. RefSeq lists it as uncharacterized. The record is from RefSeq and is a predicted model, not a curated record. The transcript has 3 exons. NCBI's taxonomy places the organism in Eukaryota, Metazoa, Chordata, Actinopteri, Anguilliformes, Anguillidae.